Molecule: ribosomal RNA, 468 nt
Filed under: uncultured bacterium
Lineage: Bacteria
Description: partial 16S ribosomal RNA
Rfam family: Bacterial small subunit ribosomal RNA
Source: RNAcentral
GACGAACGCUGGCGGCGUGCUUAACACAUGCAAGUCGAACGGAAAGGCCCUGCUUUUGUGGGGUGCUCGAAUGGCGAACGGGUGAGUAACACGUGAGUAACCUACCCUUUACUUUGGGAUAACUUCAGGAAACUGGGGCUAAUAACGGAUAGGAGCUCCUGCUGCAUGGUGGGGGUUGGAAAGUUUCGGCGGUUGGGGAUGGACUCGCGGCUUAUCAGCUUGUUGGUGGGGUAGUGGCUUACCAAGGCUUUGACGGGUAGCCGGCCUGAGAGGGGGGACGGCCUCCUUGGGACUGCGGGACGGCGCAGCCUCCAACGGGAGGCAGCGGUGGGGAAUAUUGCACAGUGGGGGGAAGCCUAAUGAAGCAACGCCGCGUGCGGGAUGUCGGCAUUCGGGUUGUAAACCGAUUUCGCCUGUGACGAAGCGUGAGUGACGGUAAUGGGUAAAGAAGCACCGGCUAACUACGUG